This is a long non-coding RNA of Triplophysa rosa, 1011 nucleotides long. RefSeq lists it as uncharacterized. Lineage: Eukaryota; Metazoa; Chordata; Actinopteri; Cypriniformes; Nemacheilidae. The transcript is spliced from 3 exons. The record is from RefSeq and is a predicted model, not a curated record.
GUCCCAGGCAAAUCUACACUCGACCCAACACCCAAGGCUAAUGGAAACAUUUGUUCUUGGUGGAAAAUGAUCAACUAUAAGAGUUUUGAGAUGAGAGCUGAUAUCUGCAUCAUCAGAGUCAAUCGUUCACACUCAUUGAGAUGGAGAGAUUAAGAGUUACUCUCGCUGCAUUUAUAUACGUCUUACUAUUCAUUCAAAAACAAAUCUACGGAACAGAGAUCGAGCUGAAGGUCAGACCAGGAGACAACAUCACUCUCAUCUGUGACCGUCCUUUAAGUCGUGGUUCCACCAUUGUAUGGAUAAGAAACUGCUCUCAUGAACAUCAACCCUCUCUUGUAUUAGAUCACAAGAUAAUGUAUGAAGAAGACUCCCCACAUUUCAGCUUUCGUCAAGACCCCAACAUUGAUUCUUUAGAUCUACAUAUUAAUAACAUCACAGCUUCUGAUCUGGGACUGUACUACUGUGCAGAGAUAAGAAAGGUAAAUGAUGAUAAAAAUAGCAGGACGUACACAUCGGCCAUUUACUAUUAUGGAAAACAAACAACACGACUCUCCUUCGCUGGUAAGAAAACACUUUUAACAGUUGUUUUAAAGGGGUCAUAUAGUCCGAAUACGUGUUUUUCUGUGUGUGGCGAGGGGAGCGUGGUGUAGCGAGGUGUGCAGCAGGAGAGAGAGCCGGGAGACGAGCGGUAAAUGAGUGGAGUAAUUACAGACGAUCAACACCUGUGUCUCGUUCCAGUAAGGGCGCGGGGAGAGAAUAUAAACAUCGGACGAAGUCACAAUGGGAAGAGAGAGACGGACUCGACGCGAGCUGCCACAAACCCAAACUUCUCAGUCAGCAAGGGGGACCUUCGCUGACUUCAGAGCGACACAAGCCAGGCUAGAAGGAAGACCGUGGAUUUAUGUUGUGUACUUUUGAUGCUCUAUUUAAGUUGGUUGUUUUAUUUAGUGUGGAAUAAAAUCGUGUCAGUCUCGCCAACCUCGUCCUCUUCCUUCCUUAUCUCCACGAACA